This 460-nucleotide ribosomal RNA is filed under the name uncultured bacterium. RNAcentral's name for it is "partial 16S ribosomal RNA". It matches the Rfam family "Bacterial small subunit ribosomal RNA", at positions 338 to 795 of the family's 1533-position model. The record is from RNAcentral.
CCUACGGGAGGCAGCAGUGAGGAAUAUUGGUCAAUGGCCGUAAGGCUGAACCAGCCAAGUCGCGUGAGGGAAGAAGGAUCUAUGGUUUGUAACCUUCUUUUAUAGGGGAAUAAAGGUAUCCACGUGUGGAUAUUUGCAUGUACCCUAUGUGUAAGCAUCGGCUAACUCCGUGCCAGCAGCCGCGGUAAUACGGAGGAUGCGGUCGUUAUCCGGAUUUAUUUGGCUUAAAGGGCGCUGAGGUUGUUUGUUAAGUCAGCGGUGAAAUGUUGUGGCUCAACCAUAAAAUUGCCGUUGAAACUGGAAGACUUGAGUGUGUUAGAGGUAGGUGGAAUGCGUGGUGUAGCGGUGAAAUGCAUAGAUAUCACGCAGAACUCCGAUUGCGAAGGCAGCUUACUAAGACAUAACUGACACUGAAGAACGAAAGCGUGGGGAUCAAACAGGAUUAGAUACCCCUGUAGUC